UACGGAGGGUGCAAGCGUUGCUCGGAAUCACUGGGCGUAAAGAGCGUGUAGGCGGUUUCGUAUGUCUGGCGUGAAAGCCCCGGGCUCACCCCGGGAAGUGCGCUGGAAACUGCGAGACUAGAGUCCCGGAGAGGAAGGUGGAAUUCCAGGUGUAGCGGUGAAAUGCGUAGAUAUUUGGAAGAACACCGGUGGCGAAGGCGGCCUUCUGGACGGUGACUGACGCUGAGACGCGAAAGCGUGGGGAGCAAACAGG
This 253-nucleotide ribosomal RNA is filed under the name uncultured bacterium. Its description in RNAcentral is "partial 16S ribosomal RNA". It matches the Rfam family "Bacterial small subunit ribosomal RNA", at positions 524 to 776 of the family's 1533-position model. The record is from RNAcentral.